UACGGAGGGUGCAAGCGUUGUCCGGAUUUAUUGGGCGUAAAGCGUGCGUAGGCGGCUGCGCAAGUCGGUUGUGAAACCCCGGGGCUCAACCCCGGAACUGCAUCCGAUACUGCGUGGCUAGAGGUAGGUAGGGGAGAUCGGAAUUCCUAGUGUAGAGGUGAAAUUCGUAGAUAUUAGGAAGAACACCGGUGGCGAAGGCAAUCCCCUGGACCUGUACUGACGCUCAUGCACGAAAGCGUGGGGAGCAAACAGG
Molecule: ribosomal RNA, 253 nt
Filed under: uncultured bacterium
Lineage: Bacteria
Description: partial 16S ribosomal RNA
Rfam family: Bacterial small subunit ribosomal RNA
Source: RNAcentral